UUGUAAUCCUUUAUCUUCCAUGCAAUUACUUUGUACACAAAAAGAGUCAACCAUGAAUCUUUUGAAGGGAAAUUAUUAAUAAAGCAAUUUGAUAUAUUUAGUCAUAAAUUGGUCAAUAAUUGGUUGCCUAAUGUCCAGUGACAAAUAUUUCAUGCAUAUAAACUAUCUACUAGACUACCUAUGGGUACAUACCAGGGGCAGAUCCAGCCAUUUUUAAAAGGUGUUUCAACCAAAGAUGUGGGAGGGGGAUCCAACUGUUUGUACUCAUUCAAAAGCUAGGUUUAGGUUUUAUGUGAAAUUUAAAAAAAUGUUUUCAAGAAUGUAAAGCUUUCACUGCAAUUUAAGAAUUGUCUGCUCUUGGUCAAUUCAUUUUGUCAUCUUACCAUGUAAAUAAGUACAUGUAUAGUAAAACAACGCUUCGUUCAUAUCAAUAAACAUAAUUACAACAG
This 449-nucleotide long non-coding RNA is filed under the name Mytilus galloprovincialis (Mediterranean mussel). The record is from RNAcentral. Lineage: Eukaryota; Metazoa; Mollusca; Bivalvia; Mytilida; Mytilidae.